UUGAAAAUUGUUAUUUAUCGAAUAAACAUUUAGUAGUGUGUGUUUCUCAUAAAGAAUAACAAAUAUAAUGAAGAUUGUAAUUUUUCUUUUUACAAUUUUCUUUUUUACAACUGUCAUAUCGUCAGAAAUAUGGCAAAGUCCCACGGAUUUAGUUUUACAUCAACAACCAAUUGAUGAAUAUAUACCUGGAAUUCGUGGUUUUCGUAUAUUUCCCAGAAUGCCUUUUUAUCAUUCAAGAAAGAGACGAAAACAUAAUAAUUAAUUAUUUUUUUUAGUUAUUUUUAAAAGCACUAAACAUAGUAAUACUGUAGAAAAACAUUUACAUUCAACAUGGUGAUUUUAAUAUAUGCGUUGAAUUGUAAUAUAAUUGAACAAACUUGUUAAAUUUGAUUAUUAUUAAAACAUAGUUUUUGCCAA
This is a long non-coding RNA of Aethina tumida (small hive beetle), 417 nucleotides long. RefSeq lists it as uncharacterized. The record is from RefSeq and is a predicted model, not a curated record. NCBI's taxonomy places the organism in Eukaryota, Metazoa, Arthropoda, Insecta, Coleoptera, Nitidulidae. The transcript has 4 exons.